RNAcentral lists this ribosomal RNA (254 nucleotides) under uncultured bacterium. Its description in RNAcentral is "partial 16S ribosomal RNA". It matches the Rfam family "Bacterial small subunit ribosomal RNA", at positions 524 to 776 of the family's 1533-position model. The record is from RNAcentral.
UACGUAGGGUGCGAGCGUUGUCCGGAAUUAUUGGGCGUAAAGAGCUCGUAGGCGGUGUGCCACGUCGAUCGUGAAAACUUGGGGCUUAACUCUGAGCUUGCGGUCGAUACGGGCAUCACUGGAGUUCGGCAGGGGAGACUGGAAUUCCUGGUGUAGCGGUGAAAUGCGCAGAUAUCAGGAGGAACACCGGUGGCGAAGGCGGGUCUCUGGGCCGAUACUGACGCUGAGGAGCGAAAGCGUGGGGAGCGAACAGG